This 479-nucleotide ribosomal RNA is filed under the name uncultured Allobrachymonas sp. RNAcentral describes it as "bacterial SSU rRNA". It matches the Rfam family "Bacterial small subunit ribosomal RNA", at positions 897 to 1382 of the family's 1533-position model. Lineage: Bacteria; Pseudomonadati; Pseudomonadota; Betaproteobacteria; Burkholderiales; Comamonadaceae. The record is from RNAcentral.
AAACUUAAAUGAAUUGACGGGACCCGCACAAGCGGUGGAUGAUGUGGUUUAAUUCGAUGCAACGCGAAAACCUUACCCACCUUUGACAUGGCAGGAAUCCUGAAGAGAUUUGGGAGUGCUCGAAAGAGAACCUGCACACAGGUGCUGCAUGGCUGUCGUCAGCUCGUGUCGUGAGAUGUUGGGUUAAGUCCCGCAACGAGCGCAACCCUUGCCAUUAGUUGCUACGAAAGGGCACUCUAAUGGGACUGCCGGUGACAAACCGGAGGAAGGUGGGGAUGACGUCAAGUCCUCAUGGCCCUUAUAGGUGGGGCUACACACGUCAUACAAUGGCCGGUACAGAGGGUAGCCAACCCGCGAGGGGGAGCCAAUCCCACAAAGCCGGUCGUAGUCCGGAUCGCAGUCUGCAACUCGACUGCGUGAAGUCGGAAUCGCUAGUAAUCGCGGAUCAGCAUGUCGCGGUGAAUACGUUCCCGGGUCUU